This 216-nucleotide long non-coding RNA is filed under the name Manihot esculenta (cassava). RNAcentral's name for it is "long non-coding RNA (MESC_LNC010151)". Lineage: Eukaryota; Viridiplantae; Streptophyta; Magnoliopsida; Malpighiales; Euphorbiaceae. The record is from RNAcentral.
GUCGGUACAUGACUUUCUACCUCUUCUCCGACUUGAAGUUCUCUCCGUUCUUCAGUCAUCCUAUAAUAUUAAAAUUCAUAAAAUAGAUCUGCAUCAGAGUUACAUCAUAUCUUUAAUAUAUAUGGCAUGUACAUAUUCCUAUACCUAACUAUUUACCCACAUACUGCCUAGAGUCGACUAAACCUGCUCUGAUACCACUAAAUGUAACACCCCCUA